CUUAUUGAUAUUGUUUCUAGCCAAUUAAUUACAUAAUGCUGGUAGGAUCCAACCUUGAGGGUUCCUAUUUCUGCGUAUAAAAGGGUUCUUGAAACCUAACAUAGCAUUACCCCUACUUUUGGCUCAAGGCUUGUCCUGAAUGAACUGAUCUGGGCGGAAGACAUUGUAAGGUGGGGAGUUUCACUGCGGCCGCACAUUUAUUAAAAGAUAAUUGCAGUGUCCUAAGAUGAGCAAAACAAAGAACUGCAAUCUCGUUUUGAACAAAAAGAUAAACGUUCAUUUGAUUCUAAUUUCUAAUAUGAAUUGCAUGGCCUAUCAAUCUUUUAUAUAUUCGGGCUUCAAAGCUAGAGGUUUCACAAAAAAGUUACCACAAGAAUACUAACAAUAUUGCUUUUUAUUACUCCAAUGCCGGCUCUUCUUUAGGGGUGGCAAUGGGAUGUGUUGGGUCGGGUCCGGAUCCAUGAAGUCAUCAUACCCGGACCGAACCUUAAGGGUGCCAAUGGGAUGUGUUGGGUUGGGUCCGGAUCCGCGAAGUCAUCGUACCCGGACCGGACCGAACCUUAAGGGUGGCAAUGGGAUGUGUUAGGUCUAACCGUCGGGUCCCAGGUUAGAUACGGGUCCAUUGCUACCCCUGUUCUUCCUGUCGUUGUGAAGCAACUUUCGGCAAGUAGUAGAUUUUUUUCACCCACAAAAUACAGAAAAUGAGCUAGGUUUAGACUGGCGUGAGACAUGUUGGUU
This 738-nucleotide non-coding RNA is filed under the name Amborella trichopoda. RNAcentral's name for it is "rRNA LSU_rRNA_eukarya". It matches the Rfam family "Eukaryotic large subunit ribosomal RNA", at positions 2496 to 2988 of the family's 3401-position model. Lineage: Eukaryota; Viridiplantae; Streptophyta; Magnoliopsida; Amborellales; Amborellaceae. The record is from Rfam by way of RNAcentral.